This 444-nucleotide ribosomal RNA is filed under the name uncultured bacterium. Its description in RNAcentral is "partial 16S ribosomal RNA". It matches the Rfam family "Bacterial small subunit ribosomal RNA", at positions 354 to 796 of the family's 1533-position model. The record is from RNAcentral.
GUAGGGAAUAUUGGGCAAUGGUCGGAAGACUGACCCAGCCAUGCCGCGUGCAGGAAGACGGCCCUCUGGGUUGUAAACUGCUUUUAUCUGGGAAGAAAAAGGCCAUGCGUGGCAAAUUGCCGGUACCAGAUGAAUAAGCACCGGCUAACUCCGUGCCAGCAGCCGCGGUAAUACGGAGGGUGCGAGCGUUGUCCGGAUUUAUUGGGUUUAAAGGGUGCGUAGGCGGCUGAUUAAGUCAGCGGUGAAAGACUUCGGCUUAACCGGAGCAGUGCCGUUGAUACUGGUUGGCUUGAGUGUCGGAGGGGUACAUGGAAUUGAUGGUGUAGCGGUGAAAUGCAUAGAUACCAUCAGGAACACCGAUAGCGAAGGCAUUGUACUGGCCGACAACUGACGCUGAUGCACGAAAGUGUGGGGAUCAAACAGGAUUAGAAACCCUUGUAGUCC